GGAGCCACGCCUGCCUGGUGCAGCAGGCUUUAUACGCCUUUAACAACUGUGUGGCAGCACAUUAAGCCUUUUGUAGGAUGGAAAUACACUUAAGGGAGAAGCUUCACCUGUUCACAUUCUGCCUGUCAGACGUUUUAUUAAUUUUGGUGCAGAAAUAUUUUUGUUAGUUAAUUCAUGACUUAUUUGUUUGUUUUACUGAAUAUUCUCAGGGAGAGGCACUUCUGGAAUUUUCUGCCUCAAGUGCCAAAAUACCUUGGCUACCCUUGGGUGCAAUGGCUUUGGUUGUGGAGUCGAAGCCAUGUCAUCCCAGGCAGUACAAUGUUUUGGGCCAGCCCUGUUUGAAAGUUGAAUAUUUUGCGAUGGCUGAUAAGAAUAUUUGGAGCAGAAAUCACAUUCUGUUUACACCUAUUCUACUUCAUCGCUGCAAAGACUGGCAGAACAGACAAUUUCUGAGAGAACAGAUACCUAAGGAAACACAGCUGGUAAAGAGAUACCCCAUGUGAUUGCUACAGGUUUCUCAACACGGAAUGCAAGCCUACGGAGGGAAGCUUCAUCCAAGCCAAAGACCUUGCAGAUAUGAUUCAUUGUUGAGGCCAAGAUGGCAAUGUCACAACCCAAAGAGAGGAAUGGGAUAGGAAUCAACCCCACACUACAAGACAACAUAGCUCGUUUCCAUAUAAGGCUCUCCAUAGCAGCCUUUUUCUUUUUAAUGCCUUCUUUUGUUAAAAUUGGCAUAAACAUAAUUAAAACAUCUCUCUUGAUUUUAUCCUGUUCCUUCUCAAUGGUGUCUUGCAGCAGGGGGAAAUCAUACUUGCUCAAAUCCCACCUUGAUAUUAGAAACACCCUUGGAGAAGACUCUCCUAAAGCCUUCAAAUUCUCACAGCAGUUUUUCCAUAUCUUCUCAAGGGUUUUCUUCUCACUGAAGUCUCUUUUCCGACUUUCAGAAUCUAUGUUGACAUCCACUUUGGUACGCACAUAGUAGAAUCUCUUGUUCAGUUUCUUAAUUUCAGAAGCCAACUUGGUAUCAUUCUCAGUGAAGCGUUCUGAGGCAACAAUUAUGAAGAAAUCAUACUUGUUAAAAUUGACUUUCUGUAGGUAUUCCUUUGCUUUAAAUGCAGGUGUUCCAAUUCCUGGUAGAUCCCAAAUUUUGAGUUUUGGGAAUGUGGGAUACUGAUAUUCUUUUAGUUCCUUGGUUGUUUCUAUCACAUCAGUCUUGGCUGCUCCGUCAUCAUCAUCUUUCAUACCCAGCAGAGCAUUGACUAAAGAUGAUUUGCCGG
Rhineura floridana is the source of this 1277-nucleotide long non-coding RNA. RefSeq lists it as uncharacterized. The record is from RefSeq and is a predicted model, not a curated record. Lineage: Eukaryota; Metazoa; Chordata; Lepidosauria; Squamata; Rhineuridae. The transcript is spliced from 3 exons.